GGAAUCUUCGGCAAUGGACGAAAGUCUGACCGAGCAACGCCGCGUGAGUGAAGAAGGUUUUCGGAUCGUAAAACUCUGUUGGUAGAGAAGAACGUUGGUGAGAGUGGAAAGCUCAUCAAGUGACGGUAACUACCCAGAAAGGAACGGCUAAAUCGUGCUAG
RNAcentral lists this ribosomal RNA (161 nucleotides) under uncultured bacterium. Its description in RNAcentral is "partial 16S ribosomal RNA". It matches the Rfam family "Bacterial small subunit ribosomal RNA", at positions 358 to 511 of the family's 1533-position model. The record is from RNAcentral.